CAACACUUCCUUUCUUCACGCUCACUACAAAACUCAAACAGCAGCAAAAACAAGUAAGACAAUGCAUCAAAUUAAUAUCCAAAUCUCGAACAACAGCAAAAACAAGCCAUAGGCCCAUAGACAAUAAAUAUAGGCCAAAUUUCAAAAGCUAUAUGCUCAUGAUCUCACCACUACCAUUGGCAUUCGCCUUUCGCUUCCCACCAACUGCACAUCAAGAAACCAAAUAAGCACAUUAAAAUUCAAAACACAUUCAUCAUAGUCAUACAACCAACAAUGAUCCACACAUUCAAAUUGAAGAGAACACACGAAUACAUGAAUGGUGUUAACCUGAAGAAUUAGUGAUUCUUGGGUCUAUAUCUCCUCCGUUAUAAUCCCUCACAUCCUUAUUGGGAGGACUUAUGCAAGAAAAGCAACCCAUUUUCCUUCUUUCUCUAAAGUUUAAACCCCAAAUUCUUGCUUUCCUUUAUCAAAUUCUUUUCCCCCUAACUUUGAUUCUUUGAAUAGAAUCCCAAUUGAAUUCACCUAAUAUAUACCAAAUCAAUCCCUCAUUACCAUUUUUAAACGUACUAGCAUACCCGUGACAAAGAAGGAAGAAAACUCGAAAAACAGAAAAUAAUUACUAGGAGAGAGAGAGAAGGAGAAUCAAGAAUGUCACGUUCCCUCCUAUAAUCCAACUACCCAAAUCCCCAGAACAAAAACAAUCACAAGCUCAAAUCUCCCAACAGAUCUAUGCCAAACUACUAGCUCUACACAAAACCCAACUAACAACAAUUCAAAUAAUCAAAUCCAUCCAGUGUGUGAAAGAAAAAGACUGCAUUUUUACAAACAGAGAGAAGAGCCCACUUUAAACUAAGCACAUUCAAAUUUGACCAUCACAAAUAAAACCCAGAAUUUAACAGCAAAGUCAGCUUCUUUUUCCUCCCUCCCCAACGUUACAGCCCUUUUCAAGCGCCGCCUUUAACGGUUAAAUUCCUGCUCUUUAUCUCCCUUCCCUCUUCCUCUUCUCGCUCUAAAAAAAAUGAAAUCUUUUUGUUUCCCAUGAAUUGUUUAGUGAGUAGAGAUUGUGGGCCUUUUGGGGAAAGCAGCGCAAUAAAAGCACUCAGACGAGUGUUUUCAGGUCACUCUCAUACACAGCUAGCAUUUAAACAUUUGGGUAUGGAGGAGCCACCUGAAAUUACCAAAUUACCCUUGAUUACUGUUACACGUCGGCCAAAAUCCCGUUAUGCCACUAAUCUU
This 1236-nucleotide long non-coding RNA is filed under the name Salvia miltiorrhiza (redroot sage). Its description in RNAcentral is "long non-coding RNA (SMIL_LNC000605)". Lineage: Eukaryota; Viridiplantae; Streptophyta; Magnoliopsida; Lamiales; Lamiaceae. The record is from RNAcentral.